CCUACGGGCGGCAGCAGUGGGGAAUAUUGGACAAUGGGCGAAAGCCUGAUCCAGCCAUGCCGCGUGUGUGAAGAAGGCCUCCGGGUUGUAAAGCACUUUCAGUGGGGAAGAAAGCCUUGGGGCUAAUACCCUCGAGGAAGGACAUCACCCACAGAAGAAGCACCGGCUAACUCCGUGCCAGCAGCCGCGGUAAUACGGAGGGUGCGAGCGUUAAUCGGAAUUACUGGGCGUAAAGCGCGCGUAGGCGGUCUGAUAAGCCGGUUGUGAAAGCCCCGGGCUCAACCUGGGAACGGCAUCCGGAACUGUCAGGCUAGAGUGCAGGAGAGGAAGGUAGAAUUCCCGGUGUAGCAGUGAAAUGCGUAGAGAUCGGGAGGAAUACCAGUGGCGAAGGCGGCCUUCUGGACUGACACUGACGCUGAGGUGCGAAAGCGUGGGUAGCAAACAGGAUUAGAUACCCCAGUAGUC
This 465-nucleotide ribosomal RNA is filed under the name Vreelandella stevensii. Its description in RNAcentral is "partial 16S ribosomal RNA". It matches the Rfam family "Bacterial small subunit ribosomal RNA", at positions 338 to 795 of the family's 1533-position model. Lineage: Bacteria; Pseudomonadati; Pseudomonadota; Gammaproteobacteria; Oceanospirillales; Halomonadaceae. The record is from RNAcentral.